RNAcentral lists this ribosomal RNA (552 nucleotides) under uncultured archaeon. RNAcentral describes it as "bacterial SSU rRNA". It matches the Rfam family "Archaeal small subunit ribosomal RNA", at positions 382 to 937 of the family's 1478-position model. The record is from RNAcentral.
CAAGCACCAGCACUUUGUGUCGGCUGUUAUCCCUUAAAAACAACUGGAGGCAUAAGCGGGGCAUAAGACGGGCCCCCGCCGCCGGUAUCAUACCCGCGCCCAUAGGUGUCGUUUAUUUUAGGGUGCAUAAAAUGUCUGUCGCCCGUGUUAAAUAUCCUGGGAAAUAUGGGGCAGUUUAACUGUGGGAAUUCGGGGGAGACUUGGAGAUUGAGGACCGGGAGAGGUCAGAGGUAUUUAGGGGGUAGGGGUAAAAUCCUGUAAUCCUGGAAGGACCACAGGUGGGAAAGGGUUUCACCUAGAACGGAUCCGACGGUGAGGGACGAAGCCAGGGGCGCAAACGGGAUUAGAUACCCCGGUAGUCCAGGGUGUAAACGAUGCGGGCUUGGUGUUGGGCGUCGUUAGUGGGCGCCCAGUGCCGUAGAGAAGUUGUUAAGCGAGCCGCUUGGGGAGUAUGUCCGCAAGGAUGAAACUUAAAGGAAUUGGCGGGGGAGCACCGCAACGGGAGGAGCGUGCGGUUCAAUUGGAUUCAACGCCGAAAAUCUCACCAGGACG